Molecule: ribosomal RNA, 2904 nt
Filed under: Escherichia coli
Lineage: Bacteria; Pseudomonadati; Pseudomonadota; Gammaproteobacteria; Enterobacterales; Enterobacteriaceae
Description: 23S ribosomal RNA
Rfam family: Bacterial large subunit ribosomal RNA
Source: RNAcentral
GGUUAAGCGACUAAGCGUACACGGUGGAUGCCCUGGCAGUCAGAGGCGAUGAAGGACGUGCUAAUCUGCGAUAAGCGUCGGUAAGGUGAUAUGAACCGUUAUAACCGGCGAUUUCCGAAUGGGGAAACCCAGUGUGUUUCGACACACUAUCAUUAACUGAAUCCAUAGGUUAAUGAGGCGAACCGGGGGAACUGAAACAUCUAAGUACCCCGAGGAAAAGAAAUCAACCGAGAUUCCCCCAGUAGCGGCGAGCGAACGGGGAGCAGCCCAGAGCCUGAAUCAGUGUGUGUGUUAGUGGAAGCGUCUGGAAAGGCGCGCGAUACAGGGUGACAGCCCCGUACACAAAAAUGCACAUGCUGUGAGCUCGAUGAGUAGGGCGGGACACGUGGUAUCCUGUCUGAAUAUGGGGGGACCAUCCUCCAAGGCUAAAUACUCCUGACUGACCGAUAGUGAACCAGUACCGUGAGGGAAAGGCGAAAAGAACCCCGGCGAGGGGAGUGAAAAAGAACCUGAAACCGUGUACGUACAAGCAGUGGGAGCACGCUUAGGCGUGUGACUGCGUACCUUUUGUAUAAUGGGUCAGCGACUUAUAUUCUGUAGCAAGGUUAACCGAAUAGGGGAGCCGAAGGGAAACCGAGUCUUAACUGGGCGUUAAGUUGCAGGGUAUAGACCCGAAACCCGGUGAUCUAGCCAUGGGCAGGUUGAAGGUUGGGUAACACUAACUGGAGGACCGAACCGACUAAUGUUGAAAAAUUAGCGGAUGACUUGUGGCUGGGGGUGAAAGGCCAAUCAAACCGGGAGAUAGCUGGUUCUCCCCGAAAGCUAUUUAGGUAGCGCCUCGUGAACUCAUCUCCGGGGGUAGAGCACUGUUUCGGCAAGGGGGUCAUCCCGACUUACCAACCCGAUGCAAACUGCGAAUACCGGAGAAUGUUAUCACGGGAGACACACGGCGGGUGCUAACGUCCGUCGUGAAGAGGGAAACAACCCAGACCGCCAGCUAAGGUCCCAAAGUCAUGGUUAAGUGGGAAACGAUGUGGGAAGGCCCAGACAGCCAGGAUGUUGGCUUAGAAGCAGCCAUCAUUUAAAGAAAGCGUAAUAGCUCACUGGUCGAGUCGGCCUGCGCGGAAGAUGUAACGGGGCUAAACCAUGCACCGAAGCUGCGGCAGCGACGCUUAUGCGUUGUUGGGUAGGGGAGCGUUCUGUAAGCCUGUGAAGGUGUACUGUGAGGUAUGCUGGAGGUAUCAGAAGUGCGAAUGCUGACAUAAGUAACGAUAAAGCGGGUGAAAAGCCCGCUCGCCGGAAGACCAAGGGUUCCUGUCCAACGUUAAUCGGGGCAGGGUGAGUCGACCCCUAAGGCGAGGCCGAAAGGCGUAGUCGAUGGGAAACAGGUUAAUAUUCCUGUACUUGGUGUUACUGCGAAGGGGGGACGGAGAAGGCUAUGUUGGCCGGGCGACGGUUGUCCCGGUUUAAGCGUGUAGGCUGGUUUUCCAGGCAAAUCCGGAAAAUCAAGGCUGAGGCGUGAUGACGAGGCACUACGGUGCUGAAGCAACAAAUGCCCUGCUUCCAGGAAAAGCCUCUAAGCAUCAGGUAACAUCAAAUCGUACCCCAAACCGACACAGGUGGUCAGGUAGAGAAUACCAAGGCGCUUGAGAGAACUCGGGUGAAGGAACUAGGCAAAAUGGUGCCGUAACUUCGGGAGAAGGCACGCUGAUAUGUAGGUGAAGCGACUUGCUCGUGGAGCUGAAAUCAGUCGAAGAUACCAGCUGGCUGCAACUGUUUAUUAAAAACACAGCACUGUGCAAACACGAAAGUGGACGUAUACGGUGUGACGCCUGCCCGGUGCCGGAAGGUUAAUUGAUGGGGUUAGCGCAAGCGAAGCUCUUGAUCGAAGCCCCGGUAAACGGCGGCCGUAACUAUAACGGUCCUAAGGUAGCGAAAUUCCUUGUCGGGUAAGUUCCGACCUGCACGAAUGGCGUAAUGAUGGCCAGGCUGUCUCCACCCGAGACUCAGUGAAAUUGAACUCGCUGUGAAGAUGCAGUGUACCCGCGGCAAGACGGAAAGACCCCGUGAACCUUUACUAUAGCUUGACACUGAACAUUGAGCCUUGAUGUGUAGGAUAGGUGGGAGGCUUAGAAGUGUGGACGCCAGUCUGCAUGGAGCCGACCUUGAAAUACCACCCUUUAAUGUUUGAUGUUCUAACGUUGACCCGUAAUCCGGGUUGCGGACAGUGUCUGGUGGGUAGUUUGACUGGGGCGGUCUCCUCCUAAAGAGUAACGGAGGAGCACGAAGGUUGGCUAAUCCUGGUCGGACAUCAGGAGGUUAGUGCAAUGGCAUAAGCCAGCUUGACUGCGAGCGUGACGGCGCGAGCAGGUGCGAAAGCAGGUCAUAGUGAUCCGGUGGUUCUGAAUGGAAGGGCCAUCGCUCAACGGAUAAAAGGUACUCCGGGGAUAACAGGCUGAUACCGCCCAAGAGUUCAUAUCGACGGCGGUGUUUGGCACCUCGAUGUCGGCUCAUCACAUCCUGGGGCUGAAGUAGGUCCCAAGGGUAUGGCUGUUCGCCAUUUAAAGUGGUACGCGAGCUGGGUUUAGAACGUCGUGAGACAGUUCGGUCCCUAUCUGCCGUGGGCGCUGGAGAACUGAGGGGGGCUGCUCCUAGUACGAGAGGACCGGAGUGGACGCAUCACUGGUGUUCGGGUUGUCAUGCCAAUGGCACUGCCCGGUAGCUAAAUGCGGAAGAGAUAAGUGCUGAAAGCAUCUAAGCACGAAACUUGCCCCGAGAUGAGUUCUCCCUGACUCCUUGAGAGUCCUGAAGGAACGUUGAAGACGACGACGUUGAUAGGCCGGGUGUGUAAGCGCAGCGAUGCGUUGAGCUAACCGGUACUAAUGAACCGUGAGGCUUAACCUU